This 631-nucleotide ribosomal RNA is filed under the name Arthrobacter sp. CK119. RNAcentral describes it as "bacterial SSU rRNA". It matches the Rfam family "Bacterial small subunit ribosomal RNA", at positions 557 to 1185 of the family's 1533-position model. Lineage: Bacteria; Bacillati; Actinomycetota; Actinomycetes; Micrococcales; Micrococcaceae. The record is from RNAcentral.
GGCGUAAGAGCUCGUAGGCGGUUUGUCGCGUCUGCCGUGAAAGUCCGGGGCUCAACUCCGGAUCUGCGGUGGGUACGGGCAGACUCAAGUGAUGUAGGGGAGACUGGAAUUCCUGGUGUAGCGGUGAAAUGCGCAGAUAUCAGGAGGAACACCGAUGGCGAAGGCAGGUCUCUGGGCAUUAACUGACGCUGAGGAGCGAAAGCAUGGGGAGCGAACAGGAUUAGAUACCCUGGUAGUCCAUGCCGUAAACGUUGGGCACUAGGUGUGGGGGACAUUCCACGUUUUCCGCGCCGUAGCUAACGCAUUAAGUGCCCCGCCUGGGGAGUACGGCCGCAAGGCUAAAACUCAAAGGAAUUGACGGGGGCCCGCACAAGCGGCGGAGCAUGCGGAUUAAUUCGAUGCAACGCGAAGAACCUUACCAAGGCUUGACAUGGACCGGACCGCCGCAAAAAUGUGGUUUCCCCUUUGGGGCCGGUUCACAGGUGGUGCAUGGUUGUCGUCAGCUCGUGUCGUGAGAUGUUGGGUUAAGUCCCGCAACGAGCGCAACCCUCGUUCUAUGUUGCCAGCGCGUGAUGGCGGGGACUCAUAGGAGACUGCCGGGGUCAACUCGGAGGAAGGUGGGGGACGACGU